AGCUACUUUUAUACCCUUGAAUAUUUUAUUAAAUUGGGCUUCUGGCCUCACAAACACAACUAAAUUUUUAUUUAAUCACGAUAAAAACAUAAUUAUCAAAACUUUCAACAACGGAUCUCUAGGUUCUCGCAACGAUGAAGAACGCAGCGAAUUGCGAUACGUAUUGUGAAUUGCAGAUUUUCGUGAAUCAUCGAAUCUUUGAACGCACAUUGCGCCCUGUGGUAUUCCACAGGGCAUGCCUGUUUGAGCGUCGUUUCCUUCUCAAGCCGCGAGGUUUGGUGUUGGGCAUGGCGGCAGCCGGUCUGAAAUAUUUUUAUGGAGCGUCAGUUUUUCUGAGGCCAGUGUCUAGCAAUAUUCACUUGGACAAAUAGAGAGCUUAUACAAUCCUAAAUAUCACAGCAAUCGACCUCAAAUCAGGUAGGACUACCCGC
Molecule: ribosomal RNA, 431 nt
Filed under: [Candida] sp. GY19S07
Lineage: Eukaryota; Fungi; Ascomycota; Saccharomycetes; Saccharomycetales
Description: eukaryotic LSU rRNA
Rfam family: 5.8S ribosomal RNA (bases 100-253)
Source: RNAcentral